UACGGGGGGGAGCAAGCGUUGUUCGGAUUUACUGGGCGUAAAGGGCGCGUAGGCGGCGUGACAAGUCACUUGUGAAAUCUCCGGGCUUAACUCGGAACGGUCAAGUGAUACUGUCGUGCUAGAGUACAGAAGGGGCAACUGGAAUUCUCGGUGUAGCGGUGAAAUGCGUAGAUAUCGAGAGGAACACCUGCGGCGAAAGGCGGGUUGCUGGGCCUUACCUGACGCUGAGGAGCGAAAGCGUGGGGAGCGAACAGG
RNAcentral lists this ribosomal RNA (255 nucleotides) under uncultured bacterium. RNAcentral's name for it is "partial 16S ribosomal RNA". It matches the Rfam family "Bacterial small subunit ribosomal RNA", at positions 524 to 776 of the family's 1533-position model. The record is from RNAcentral.